RNAcentral lists this ribosomal RNA (253 nucleotides) under uncultured bacterium. RNAcentral describes it as "partial 16S ribosomal RNA". It matches the Rfam family "Bacterial small subunit ribosomal RNA", at positions 524 to 776 of the family's 1533-position model. The record is from RNAcentral.
UACGUAGGGUGCAAGCGUUAAUCGGAAUUACUGGGCGUAAAGCGUGCGCAGGCGGUUUUGUAAGACCGAUGUGAAAUCCCCGGGCUUAACCUGGGAACUGCAUUUGUGACUGCAAGGCUUGAGUGUGUCAGAGGGAGGUGGAAUUCCGCGUGUAGCAGUGAAAUGCGUAGAUAUGCGGAGGAACACCGAUGGCGAAGGCAGCCUCCUGGGAUAACACUGACGCUCAUGCACGAAAGCGUGGGGAGCAAACAGG